UACACUCCUACGGGAGGCAGCAGUGGGGAAUAUUGGACAAUGGGCGCAAGCCUGAUCCAGCCAUGCCGCGUGAGUGAUGAAGGCCCUAGGGUUGUAAAGCUCUUUCACCGGUGAAGAUAAUGACGGUAACCGGAGAAGAAGCCCCGGCUAACUUCGUGCCAGCAGCCGCGGUAAUACGAAGGGGGCUAGCGUUGUUCGGAUUUACUGGGCGUAAAGCGCACGUAGGCGGACUAUUAAGUCAGGGGUGAAAUCCCGGGGCUCAACCCCGGAACUGCCUUUGAUACUGGUAGUCUUGAGUUCGAGAGAGGUGAGUGGAAUUCCGAGUGUAGAGGUGAAAUUCGUAGAUAUUCGGAGGAACACCAGUGGCGAAGGCGGCUCACUGGCUCGAUACUGACGCUGAGGUGCGAAAGCGUGGGGAGCAAACAGGAUUAGAUACCCCAGUAGUCCCA
Molecule: ribosomal RNA, 449 nt
Filed under: uncultured organism
Description: partial 16S ribosomal RNA
Rfam family: Bacterial small subunit ribosomal RNA
Source: RNAcentral